This 6259-nucleotide long non-coding RNA is filed under the name Citrus sinensis (sweet orange). RNAcentral describes it as "long non-coding RNA (CSIN_LNC001706)". Lineage: Eukaryota; Viridiplantae; Streptophyta; Magnoliopsida; Sapindales; Rutaceae. The record is from RNAcentral.
AUUGACUUCAAGGUGUCAAUGAACCUUUACAACAAAGAGAUUAUCUCCCAAUCUCUUCACUCAAGUGUCUCACACACUCAAACUCUUACAAUUGAGAUGAAGAAAAGAAAGUUACAAUGAAACUCACUCAAUGAGUAGAUAUUCAAAAAUGAAGAACAAGAAAUGAUUCAAUAUUUUCGUGUGUUUUUUGUUUUUGCUUGUUGGAGAGUUUGAAAAUGAGCUGUACCGUACAUCCGCCUUGGCCGUACAGCAGAUACCUUAAAGUUUUUUUUUUGUUGGGUGUGAUUAAUGAAACUCAAAUUGAGUAAAAUUGAUUGUGCGAUUUCUUUUGCAGUGUUGCUGAAGGAUUUGGUGGUGUAUUUUAGUAUUUUCCAAUGUCUAUGGAGGUUAGUCCUACGGCUUUGGAGGGGUCGUGUGGAGUUGUAAAUGGGAGUGUCUGUGUGGUUGGUGAUGAGUCAGUGAUGAUUGACAAUAAUGUCGAAGAGAAUGAAAAUCCGGCGAAUUUAGUAGAGGAUUUUGAUUCAUAUUGGGAUGAUAUCAAUGACCGUUUAACUAUUUCAAGGAUGGUUAGUGAUUCAGUCAUCAAAGGCAUGGUGAAUGCAAUUGAACAGGAGGCAGCUGAGAAGAUUGCCGAGAAAGAACUUGAGUUGGUUAGAUUGAGGGAAUCAUUGCAUCUUUACCAUGUGGGUGCAGAAGAAAGUGAACCCUUUCAGUCUCUGGUCAUGAAGCAUGAGUCAGGAAGUGUAAAACAUGGAUCAUAUUCAAGUUUAUCUCUGCUCAUCAUCAUCCUUUUUCUCGCCUCUUUUUUUGCGCUUUUUAUCUUUCACUUUACCCCAUUUGUUUUCAAUACUCUCCACCUUUCGAAAAAUGGCCUCACUAUUCAAUGGUUUCGGAGGAGGCUCUCUUUCAUGUUUAUUAUUAAAAGGUUUCUUUUGAGUUCGAAAGGGAUGAUCAUGAGGAAGCCAACGGCGAUGGCCAAUAUAAGUAUUUUUUUUUACUGUGUUUAAGUCUACAUUUUGGCAUAUCUUCACCGCAAUAAGGACAAGCAUAAUAACCCUUAACUGUACAACCCGCCAAAUUCCCAUAAGCGGGAAAGUCAUUUAUAGUCCACAAUAGUACAGCCCGUAAAUUGAAGAACUCUUUUUUGUAGGCAUCAUAAGCUUCCACACCAACAUCCCAUAGAGUUUGCAAGUCCUCUAUUAGUGGUGCCAAGUACACAUCAAUAUCAUUACUGGGCUGUUGUGGACCAGAAAUUAAUAAGGAUAACAUCAUAAAUUUUCGUUUCAUACACAACCAGGGUGGAAGAUUGUAUGUUACAAGAAGAAUGGGCCAGCAACUAUACGUACUACUAAGAGAGCUAUGAGGAUUAAUGCCAUCAGCUGAUAGGGCAAGACGCAGAUUUCUAGGCUCUAAAGCAAAGGUAGGCCAUUUUUCAUCAACUAACUUCCAUGCCGGUGAGUCAGCUGGAUGUCGAAGCUUACCAUCUAUUUCCCUCUCAUUUAUAUGCCAAGUCAAGUCUUUGGCAGUUUGUGAGGACUGAAACAAACGCCUAAAUCUAGGUAUAGGAGGGAAAUACCAUAACACUUUUGUAGGAACCCCCUUCCUAUAAGCAGCAACACUACCAUCUCUUUUCUUCCACCUAGAUUCACCGCAUGUAGGACAAUUAGAAAGGCUUUCAUACUCCUUUCUAUAGAGUAUACAAUCAUUUGGACAUGCAUGAAUUUUGAUAUACUCUAAGCCUAAAGCACUCAUUGUCUUUUUGGCUUCAUACAUUGAUAAAACAAAUCUGAAAAGCUACUAUUAGACCACCCAUAUCUGCCCUUUAUAUUGUACAAUUUAACUAAAGCUGAUAACUUGGUAAAUUUGUUUGAUCCAGGGUACAAAGGCUUCUCAGAAUCUUCUAAUAGUUUUUUCAAUGCUUUAGGAUCACUAUCACAAUCCUUAAAAGCAUCUUCAACCAUUUCAACAGUAUUACCACCAUCAUAAUCCAUAUAUCCACUGUCAUUUUGGCAACCUAUAUUGUCAGGAGAUUUGUUACGGAUAUCUUCCCCAUGCCAAACCCAUGUUUUGUAUGACAUAUCAAGACCCCAUAUAAUUAAAUGAUCUUUCACUUCUUUAGGCCUAUGAAAUGCUAAAUUUCGACAUUUAUCACAUGGACACCUAACAACACUAAUUUCUUGAUUACUUUCAACUGCAGUCUUAAUAAAUUUUUCCACACCAGCCUCAUACUCAUCGGACAAUCUAUCAUAUUUAAGCCAAGAUUUAUCCAUUUUUUGUCUAGUACCUAACAUAUAAUUGAGAUAAAUUUCAACACAAUGUACUAAUGGGCAGCAAUGAUAAACGGUUUCCAUUAUCAAUAAAUUAAGCAACAAAACAUUAUUAAUAUUCAAUUUAUAAAUUCAAUGAAAUAAAUAAGUUUAAAAAAAAACUUGUCAUCAUGUGCAACAAAUGUAACUUUACCAACAUGCUAUCAUCAUUGACCAAAACCACCGACUAACCAUACCCAACUAAUAAUAUCCUAAAUAACUUGGCCCACAUACAUUUAACAUUUAUUUAAAAAACAAUUCUAGCAAUCCAGCAUUUCAUGGACCACAAGACUAUAUAUAUAUAACCAACUAAACAUUACUUGGUCCACAUGACCAAACUUGCCCCCACAUGGUACCAUUUCCUUCAAACAUAAAAAAGACAAUUGAAAAGGGGGCCUUACUUUUUAACUCAAUAAAUUACACAAAAUCUAGCUCACAAUCAUUAAAGAAAAUGUCAACACCAUUGGACCACAGUUUCGGAUUCAUCCCAACAAAAGACACUAGUAAAUGAAAAGUACUAUAUCAUCAACCAAAAUCACUUCACACACAUGCAAGCUCUGACUAAAAAUUUACAGAAUAUAACAAUAUUCAUACAAACCAUUGGCAGCAAACAUUUUUCAAACAUUGAACGGAAAGGCAAGUAAAAAAUUGAACAAACCUGAUGUUAGAAAUCGAGUUUGAAAGGGAACAGGGCAGUGAAAUCCUGCGAUUCAGAACAAAUUUUUUUUUUUAAAAAAAAAAAGAAGAGGACAUGCUAAAUUAAAUGAUUGAGCAAUUUCUAGAUUUAACAGAAGGACAAAGUAUAAGCUUCUUGAAUUAAAAAAUAAACAAAAAAUAUAACAAUAGAAACAAACGAGAAUUAAAAAGUAAUAAUAAAGAUAAACCUAGGGCAUAAAUUAUGAACAAAUAAGGGAAAUAACAACAAAACUAACAAUUAAUUUUAUAAUGACCAAUUAAUUUAUUCUGAAUAAAAUUUAAAAAAGUUAAUUGAUGACAAACCUAGGGAUUCAGCGAUUACAGGAUGGCUUCUCCAACGCCGAUUGAACAAUACAAAGAAAUAGUGACACCGACGGCUUCAAUAAUGGACGCGAAGGCGCAACAAUGAGCAUAUGUGGUGAUUUUGUUCCUAAAAACAAUGGGUUCGAAAUAAUGGGGGUUAAAGAUAAUGGGGGUUCAAAAUAAGGACGGGAAGGCUCCUUCAAUAGCAUAAACUAUGAUUUCGGUUUCCAUGCAACGGAUUUCAAAACCAAUUUGCAGAUUAAAAUAUGUUAAUAAACGGAUUUUGAGGGGUUUCACUGCUUUGGUUUCUCAGCCCUUGCUGAUGGAGUGAUGGGUCAAAGGUGCCAACACUUAGAAUUUUUUUUAUGUUUGUGGUUUACAAUAUACUGAAAUGAUAGCGUUUAAAUGUUAAAUAAAUAUUUUUAUUUUAAAAAUGUUUUAAAUCUGUAAAACGGUGUCCUUUUAUGUCCAAAUUAAUUCCACUCGAAACCCACGGUUUGAUUAAAUAUUAAUACGCUAUCAUGUUUAUCUGAUAUAUAAAAAAUCUAUCAGAAAUCUGUCAUGAAUUUAUGAUGUACGAAAAUUCUAUCAUAUGUCUAUCAUAUUCUUAUGAUAAAUGACUAAUUUUCUAAUAUCUAUCACAAAAAUUCUGUCAUGGUAGCCUAUUUUUCUAGUAGUGUAUUAUUUUUAUUUCUCUUAAUUGGAGAUUUUGGUUUAUGUCCCCCUCCAAAUGUAUUUUCUUUAUCUGUUCUAAAUGACCGGUAGGAGUCCCGCCUAACCCCCCAUAGAGUGAAAAAAAAAUUGGUUAAAUAAUAACUUGUAAUAGAAACUUUAGAAGUGCGUGGUGACUUAUCUUAUAUGCUACAUUUAAAAAGCAACCUGCAUAUAUUUUUAAAAAAACAAAUAUCAAAAUAAAUAAACUUAUGAAAUAAACACCACAACAGAAAUGGCUUUUUGCAACAAAAAGAUUUUGUUGCCUAAAGUGCUAAUUUUGUUGCCAUAGGUUAUUGCUACAAAAACAAGCUUGUCGGCCCGGUCGUCGGCCUAGCACUGUCGCCCUCUAUGUUUAACAACAUAUCAAAACAUUUCUCGCCUCAAACUUCCUUUUGCAACAAAACAGAUUCGUUGUAAAGGAGUCUUCAACUUGUUUAGAGAAUAAUUUGGCAACAAACAUUUUUGUUGCGCUAAACAGUUUUACACAACAAAAUUAUUUUGUUUUUAUAUAGUUAUUUACUACAAAACGAAUUUGUUGCUAAGAAAUAAAGUACAUUUUAUAAAAAAAAAACGUGUACCAACAAAGGUGUUUGUUAGCUAAGAUCAUUUUAGGCAACAAAACUACUUUGUUUCUUUAUGUUGAAAAUUUUACAAAUUUGCAAUAAAUAUUUAAAUAUUUUUAGAAACAAAUCAAUUUUUUCAUUAAAAAGUACUACAAUUUUUUUUAAUAAUAUCAUGGUAUAAAAGGAAGCAAACCAAGUUCGUUGGGAAAGAUACCAAUUUUUCCCCUACCAUGACAAUAAUAAACUAGAAAUAUAUGUUGAGAAAUCUAACAAAAAAAUCAUUAAUGUCAUUGAACUAAUUUAAAAGUUAAAGGCCCAUUCAGUAUCCAAGCUAUACUUUAAGAAUCACAUAUGAUCCCAAAAAUGUAAUGAGCAAAAAUUAUAAACGAUCUCUAAUUACAACUACUCCAAACUCCAAAUACUUAAAGAUAUGACAUGCACCAGCAGUAACCAAAAAGAUCAAGUGAUGACCAAUUCAAAAUACUAACAAGUUCAAGAUACUCUAAGGACAUCAUUGAAAUGAGUAAUCAUUAAGUAGCUGAAUCUGUAAAGCGAAAAGCGGAUCCUUGAGAAGAAAAAAAUUGCUGCAUCAUACCCUCAAAUUGGGACAAUAUGGACUCCAAUUGAUCAAUAGUCUUCUUUUGCUCUUGAAGCUCAACAUCUUGUGAAUCCAAUCUACUUUGUUGUGAAGAUAUAAUACCAUGCAAUCUGUCAACCUCAGAAGUAUCAAAACCAUGGUUUGAAGUUGGGCGUGGUCCGUUGCCAAGUUCUCGAAAAUAGCCUGAUUUCUUUCCAAGCACUUCAAUGCAUAUUUCCCUUUGAGUUAGUGGUUUUGCUUCUUCAGUAUGUAGGUGAUAAGAAAUAAUAAAAUUAAAAAUUUUGUUUCCAACAAAGCAUCUUACAUGGUUUAAGUGUGCCACCUCAUUCACCCAACCUUUUGUCUUGCUGAAAUGAGUGACGCGAAAUAAUUCUAUUUCACCAUCAACCAUGUCAUCCUCAAGAUAAUUAACAAAAGGUUUUGAUCCCCCACAAUGAACAUAUGGGAGCUUAGCACGAUUAGCUUUGUUUUUGGUAGAUUGAGUCUACAUUAAAAAAAUAUAACAAUGGAAAAUAAGAUACAUAUACAAGCAUAUUGACAACUAGUUGGACAAUUUAAAGUUCAUAAUAUGAAUAUCAUUGGACCGGGAAACUUGUGGAAUUGUAAAUGUUAUGACAAAGCCAAGCCCAAUCAUCUGGACAUAUGAUUGGAUACGAAUGCUUAAGUGCCUCUUCAAAGGAUGGAUAAUCCAAGUAAUGAUCAUACAUCCAAUGUCUCAUAUCACGAUAUGUCCCACCUAUAAUGUUAUUCACACAUCGACGAACAUGUGGUAAGUUCAAAUCAAUCUCAAACUUUGACUGAAUUUAGGAAAAAAAAGAUAUCUCAGUUUAUAAUUUAAAAAAAUGACAGAUGAAGAAUAUUAAUAAUCAUAAGUACUUACUAAUAGUUGAUCAAACAAAACCUACCAAUUAAACUCUUUAAAUACCAAAUUCUAGAGUUGUAACAACACCUUGUACAAACUCUUGGCUGGGCAUAACAGGCUGAGAUUGGGGAAUUGUAGAUGCGACAACAAUUUCUGCUCUUACACGUUUGGUAACUAUGUCCAGGACCCAUCUAGUAAUUAUUAAAAAUAUACAUUA